GUGGGGAAUAUUGCACAAUGGGGGAAACCCUGAUGCAGCAACGCCGCGUGAGUGAUGACGGCCUUCGGGUUGUAAAACUCUGUCUUUGGGGACGAUAAUGACGGUACCCAAGGAGGAAGCCACGGCUAACUACGUGCCAGCAGCCGCGGUAAUACGUAGGUGGCAAGCGUUGUCCGGAUUUACUGGGCGUAAAGGGAGCGUAGGUGGAUAUUUAAGUGGGAUGUGAAGUACUCGGGCUUAACCUGGGUGCUGCAUUCCAAACUGGAUAUCUAGAGUGCAGGAGAGGAAAGGAGAAUUCCUAGUGUAGCGGUGAAAUGCGUAGAGAUUAGGAAGAAUACCAGUGGCGAAGGCGCCUUUCUGGACUGUAACUGACACUGAGGCUCGAAAGCGUGGGGAGCAAACAGGAUUAGAAACCCUUGUAGUCC
This 425-nucleotide ribosomal RNA is filed under the name uncultured bacterium. RNAcentral's name for it is "partial 16S ribosomal RNA". It matches the Rfam family "Bacterial small subunit ribosomal RNA", at positions 354 to 796 of the family's 1533-position model. The record is from RNAcentral.